This is a long non-coding RNA of Daucus carota subsp. sativus, 787 nucleotides long. RefSeq lists it as uncharacterized. The transcript has 2 exons. Lineage: Eukaryota; Viridiplantae; Streptophyta; Magnoliopsida; Apiales; Apiaceae. The record is from RefSeq and is a predicted model, not a curated record.
AGAUAGGAUGAGGGGAGAGAGGAUGCAGGUCAUUAACCCAGACGAGGCCGUGUUGGUGGUAGGAGAGGAGGCCGUGCCGGUGGGAGAGGAGGUCGAGAUGGUGGACGAUUAGUUGAUGAGCCGGUUGAUGAUGUUGAUCAUGCUGAUGAGCAUGAGGACACUGCGGUUUAGGAGGGGAACUCAUGUAGAUACAAGCGAGGAUUGUGUAGUACUGCUAUUGCCGAGCAAUCUACUGCCACUAUAGCCGAGCCAUCUAUUGCUGCUGCUGCCGGGUCUUCUAUUGCUGCUAGCGACGAGGCUGAGUUCAUUAGACGUGAGGAUUGGCCUUCCUGCUCUCUAGGCCUCACUCCUACUCCAUAGCCAGUUGCUGAGCAACAGACUUUUCAUAUUCCGGAUACCAAUAUACAACAGCCUCCUCCUAUUAUACAGCAUCAUCACCGGACUCGACUUCAGCAUGAUAUAUCAGAGAUCUCCUCUUUUGACUUGGGCUUCUCUUUACAGUCUUCUCAACCUGAUACACAGACUAGUUCAGAUAGAGCUGAUAUGUCUGGUAGAUAUGAAAUAUAUGUGCGCCGGUUAAAAAGGCAGCGACAGGCUCCCGAUUGUGGUAUUGGUGGACAUAAAUGAGGGGUAUCAGCUAUUGGAGCUAUAGAGCUGGAGUUUUAUUAGUUUUUAUUGUAUAUUGUAGGCUUUUCAUAACAUCUGUAGGGAUAGGACCCUGAACUUGUAAAUUCUCAUUGCGCGGAUCUUGUAAUUAUUUUAAUUUCGUGUCUAUAUUUAUGUUUUA